AAAACUAAUAGGGAAAAUUACAAAAAUAACCCGAAAACAAUAAAAUGUACUUUUAGAGGCCCAAACGAUAAAAUUUGACCAAAAAACCCUGCAGCUCACGAGCGCAGCGCUUGUGAAUUUUGAUCGUUGACCCGUUUCCAAAGAAAUUAGGCUCCGAAAACGCGAAAAUCCGGCACUUCAAACUUGGCAAAAACUACCAAAUUGCCACUGGAUCAAAUCUUUCCACCAUCUAUCAAAAUCUUUCCAUAAAAAUGACACGCUUGCUCUUCAACCGCAUCAGUGACCCCUUGGGAAGUCUUCGUGUUGCACCUCUUUUUUUUUUUUUUUGUGUAAUUCGG
Molecule: long non-coding RNA, 338 nt
Filed under: Panax ginseng (ginseng)
Lineage: Eukaryota; Viridiplantae; Streptophyta; Magnoliopsida; Apiales; Araliaceae
Description: long non-coding RNA (PGIN_LNC001086)
Source: RNAcentral